This 237-nucleotide ribosomal RNA is filed under the name uncultured bacterium. Its description in RNAcentral is "partial 16S ribosomal RNA". It matches the Rfam family "Bacterial small subunit ribosomal RNA", at positions 99 to 334 of the family's 1533-position model. The record is from RNAcentral.
CGAACGGGUGAGUAACACGUGAGUAACCUGCCCCAGAGUGGGGGACAACAGUUGGAAACGACUGCUAAUACCGCAUAAGCCCACGGAACCGCAUGGUUCAGAGGGAAAAGGAGCAAUUCGCUUUGGGAUGGACUCGCGUCCGAUUAGCUAGAUGGUGAGGUAACGGCCCACCAUGGCGACGAUCGGUAGCCGGACUGAGAGGUUGAUCGGCCACAUUGGGACUGAGACACGGCCCAG